GACGAACGCUGGCGGCGUGCUUAACACAUGCAAGUCGAACGGAAAGGCCCUGCUUGCAGGGUACUCGAGUGGCGAACGGGUGAGUAACACGUGGGUGAUCUGCCCUGCACUUCGGGAUAAGCCUGGGAAACUGGGUCUAAUACCGGAUAGGAGCCAUUUUUAGUGUGAUGGUUGGAAAGUUUUUUCGGUGUAGGGUGAGCUCGCGGCCUAUCAGCUUGUUGGUGGGGUAAUGGCCUACCAAGGCGGCGACGGGUAGCCGGCCUGAGAGGGUGGACGGCCACAUUGGGACUGAGAUACGGCCCAGACUCCUACGGGAGGCAGCAGUGGGGAAUAUUGCACAAUGGGCGCAAGCCUGAUGCAGCGACGCCGCGUGGAGGAUGACGGCCUUCGGGUUGUAAACUCCUUUCGCUAGGGACGAAGCUUUUUGUGACGGUACCUAGAUAAGAAGCACCGGCUAACUACGUG
Molecule: ribosomal RNA, 465 nt
Filed under: uncultured bacterium
Lineage: Bacteria
Description: partial 16S ribosomal RNA
Rfam family: Bacterial small subunit ribosomal RNA
Source: RNAcentral